This 897-nucleotide ribosomal RNA is filed under the name uncultured bacterium. RNAcentral's name for it is "bacterial SSU rRNA". It matches the Rfam family "Bacterial small subunit ribosomal RNA", at positions 21 to 904 of the family's 1533-position model. The record is from RNAcentral.
GGCUCAGAGUGAACGCUGCGGGCAUGCCUAACACAUGCAAGUCGAACGGAGUUGUUUGCGAUUACAUCAAGAGCAACUGAGUGGCAGACGGGUGAGUAACACGUGGACAAUCUGCCUUCGAGAGUGGGAUAACCCUGGGAAACCAGGGCUAAUACCGCGUAAGACCACGUCCCCGCAUGGGGAUGGGGCCAAAGCUCCGCAAGGGGCGCUUGAAGAGGGGUCCACGGCCUAUCAGCUUGUUGGUGAGGUCACGGCUCACCAAGGCUACGACGGGUAGGCGGUCUGAAAGGACGACCGCCCACAAUGGCACUGAGACACGGGCCAUACUCCUACGGGAGGCAGCAGUGGGGAAUUUUGCGCAAUGGGGGCAACCCUGACGCAGCGAUGCCGCGUGGAGGACGAAGGUCUUCGGAUUGUAAACUCCUUUUGCAGGGGACAAAUGGUCCCGUGAAUAACGGGAUUUGAUGGUACUCUGCGAAUAAGCCACGGCUAACUUCGUGCCAGCAGCCGCGGUAAGACGAAGGUGGCGAGCGUUACUCGGAAUUACUAGGCGUAAAGCGUGGGUAGGUGGUUCGGUAAGUCUGUUGUGGAAGCUCCCGGCUUAACCGGGAGAGGCCAAUGGAAACUACCGGACUUGAAUGUGGGAGGGGUCACUGGAAUUCCUGGUGUAGCGGUGAAAUGCGUAGAGAUCAGGAGGAACACCAAAGGCGAAAGCAGGUGACUGGACCACUAUUGACACUGAGCCACGAAAGCUAGGGGAGCAAACAGGAUUAGAUACCCUGGUAGUCCUAGCCAUAAACGAUGCUCACUAGGUGUGGGAGGUAUCGACCCCUUCCGCGCCGACGCUAACGCAUUAAGUGAGCCGCCUGGGGAGUACGGCCGCAAGUUGAAACUCAA